GAGAGACAACAUAACACUACAUAAAGAGAGACAACACUACAUAAAGAGAGACCUAAGACAACAGCAUGGCAGCAACACAUGACAACAUAGCAUGGUAGCAAUGCAUGACAAUGCAUGGCAGUAGCACAACAUGGUAGCAGCACAGAACAUUAUUGAGCAAAAUCAUACUACCCAAUCAUAGUUUCUAUUAGCUCUUAGGACAUAGUUUACAGGUUUGUAAAUUGAUUCAUAUUGUAAACUGAUUUAUAUUGAAGCUAUAUGUAUUCAAGCAUAAUUGUAUGUCUCGGAUCCCACUAUCCCUUCGACCCACACUCAUCAGUGAGAAUCAAGCCAAUCAAAUCAACUCCUAGAGUAGCCACCAGUAUCUACCUGCAGCCUUUACAACCACAGCCUGCGGCAGAGAGUGAGGUGGAGAUUCAGACUGCCUUACUGGGUUGGCUGCACACCCAGAGCCACGAACCACUAGCCUGUCUGAUGGGCCGCUCCAACACAAUCCUCCUACAGUACCUGCAAUUGAAGGGAAGGUGGAGUUUGCUCUGACUGUGUUGAAGUCAGAACCUGAGCCGGAGAGUGAAGAGCCUGAUCAGUUGUUUCUAUUAGCUCUUAGUGAUACAAACAUACAGGUGACUGACUGAUCGUGUAUGGAGGAAUCCUCACUAUUACUGAUAAGCAACUUGGCAGUACGCCCAGAAUGUUGCUAUGGGAACAACCAAGGUAUGUCAGUUUCAAGGUCUCAACUUGGAGAGAGAAGGCCUUGUGAGGUAUUGGUCAGUCACAUGUGCGAGCCACCGGUAAUGAUGAAUUAAUUAUGCUAAAUCAUGCAAAUAUAACUUCUCUGUAUAGCCGUAUAUAAGACAACUGCUGGGACUGCCCCAGCGGAGCUUCUGAUGUAACCUCUCCAGCUUGCUGAUAAUAAAGCUUGUGAUUCAUUUAAGUUUGA
Long non-coding RNA from Oncorhynchus kisutch (coho salmon), 940 nucleotides. RefSeq lists it as uncharacterized. The record is from RefSeq and is a predicted model, not a curated record. NCBI's taxonomy places the organism in Eukaryota, Metazoa, Chordata, Actinopteri, Salmoniformes, Salmonidae. The transcript is spliced from 4 exons.